UUCCCUAAGAUUUAACUAAAAAUUUUCUGACAUGAGUGAGUUUACUCGUUUCAGACACAGUCGUGUCUUAUUGUUAGUGGUGUUGGGGUUGAGAGCGGGGAUCUUACGGUUUUCGGUACUUUCGGGUUUGAUAUCCAUCAUAGAUAUUCGGAUCCUGUUAAGGAAUUCUUAGUCGUCGAUGAAUUGCCGGUGAAGGGAAGUCCGGAGUAUUACACCGCCAUGGUCCACCGCGAUACAAUAAUCAAGGGCCGUCAUUUGGCGAUGGCGAAUGAUCAGUCGCCUGUACUUUCAUCGACGGGAACGAGACUUAUCGAUUGAACUCCUUGGAUUUUUGCAUUACGCCAAUGUAUCGGUGGGUACGCCAGCUUUGUCAUUUUUGGUAGCACUCGACACCGGCAGCGAUCUCUUCUGGUUGCCAUGCGAUGUUCCAGUUGUGUCAAAGGCAUAGAAACAAUCUGGCUAUCCGGCAAUAGAGUUAACAUCUACAGCCCUAAUAUCAUCCACAAGCUCAAAGGUUCCCUGUAACAGUGCCAUGGCGAACAUCAUAGAAGAUGUUCUUCGCCUUCGAAUAAUUGUCCUUAUCAAGUUGACUACUGUCCGAUGGCACUUCAUCGAUCGGAGUUUUGGUGCAGGAUGUCUUGCACUUAACCACGGAUGCCGAUGAAACCAAACCCGUCGAAGCCAAGAUUACUUUCGGGUUUGUAACUUUUAGUUUCCUUUG
This is a long non-coding RNA of Hibiscus syriacus, 721 nucleotides long. RefSeq lists it as uncharacterized. The transcript has 3 exons. NCBI's taxonomy places the organism in Eukaryota, Viridiplantae, Streptophyta, Magnoliopsida, Malvales, Malvaceae. The record is from RefSeq and is a predicted model, not a curated record.